GGCUCCUUGUGGGAUAAUAUAAGAUGGGGGGUCUGGCCUGCCCGGUGACAGGCAUGUUAAACGGCCGCAGUAUAUUAACUGUGCGAAGGUAGCGUAAUAAUUUGCCUAUUGAUUGUGGGCUAGAAUGAAUGGCUUGACGAAGGCUAAACUGUCUCUUUAUAAUUAUUUAGAAAUUAUUUUUUAGGUGAAGAUUCCUAAAUGUGACUGAGGGACGAUAAGACCCUAUCGAGCUUUAGUAUAUUUUAAGCUUAGUUAUUCAAAUUUGUAUUUAAGUGCUUAAAUGAAUCUUUGGUUGGGGCGAUUAGGAAGUAGAAUAAACCUUUUGUGUAAAUUUUAUGUCGAUGGAUAUAAGAUCUGGUAUAUUAUACAGAUCACAAGAUAAGUUACCGUAGGGAUAACAGCGUAAUCCUCUUGGAAAGUUCUUAUUGAGAAGAGGGCUUGCGACCUCGAUGUUGGACUAAGAUAUCCUAAGGGUGUAGCAGCUUUUAAGGGUUAGUCUGUUCGACUAUUAAAAUCUUACA
This 521-nucleotide ribosomal RNA is filed under the name Scutus forsythi. Its description in RNAcentral is "partial 16S ribosomal RNA". It matches the Rfam family "Bacterial large subunit ribosomal RNA", at positions 1816 to 2600 of the family's 2925-position model. The record is from RNAcentral. Lineage: Eukaryota; Metazoa; Mollusca; Gastropoda; Lepetellida; Fissurellidae.